Molecule: ribosomal RNA, 253 nt
Filed under: uncultured bacterium
Lineage: Bacteria
Description: partial 16S ribosomal RNA
Rfam family: Bacterial small subunit ribosomal RNA
Source: RNAcentral
UACGGAGGGUGCAAGCGUUACCCGGAUUCACUGGGUUUAAAGGGUGCGUAGGCGGGCAGGUAAGUCCGUGGUGAAAUCUCUGAGCUUAACUCAGAAACUGCCAUGGAUACUAUUUGUCUUGAAUAUUGUGGAGGUAAGCGGAAUAUGUCAUGUAGCGGUGGAAUGCUUAGAUAUGACAUAGAACACCAAUUGCGAAGGCAGCUUACUACACAGUUAUUGACGCUGAGGCACGAAAGCGUGGGGAUCAAACAGG